Molecule: ribosomal RNA, 253 nt
Filed under: uncultured bacterium
Lineage: Bacteria
Description: partial 16S ribosomal RNA
Rfam family: Bacterial small subunit ribosomal RNA
Source: RNAcentral
GACAGAGGUGCCGAGCGUUAGGCGGAAUCACUGGGCUUCAAGCGUGUGUAGGCGGGUCGUUAAGUGUCUUGUGAAAUCUCCCGGCUCAACCGGGGAAUGGCUGGGCAUACUGGCGAUCUUGAGCAGUCUAGGGGCAGAUGGAACAAGUGGUGGAGCGGUGAAAUGCGUAGAUAUCACUUGGAACGCCAAAGGUGAAAACAGUCUGCUGGGGACUUGCUGACGCUGAGACACGAAAGCCAGGGGAGCGAACGGG